Molecule: long non-coding RNA, 567 nt
Organism: Dromaius novaehollandiae (emu)
Lineage: Eukaryota; Metazoa; Chordata; Aves; Casuariiformes; Dromaiidae
Exons: 3
Source: RefSeq, a predicted model, not a curated record
ACUAGGGGCAAAUCCUCUUUUCCAGCCUAUUGCACAAACUCGGCUGCAAUGUUUGCACAGCCUCUUUGCGAAACUUGAUCAUGGUUGGUGCACGGUUAACGACCUUUGCACUGAGAAAGGGAGAUAUCCAACCUGAGACAGAGAAGAAUAUUUUGCUAUAAGCGUUUUAACAUUCAAGUCGUCACUAAAGGUGUGAACCAUGUGGCUGUUGCUUUUUCUUGCAAAGGGACCCAGAAACUUCUCCAGGAAUGUCUGUCUGUCCAUCUGUCUUUGGAAGGAAGGAAUGCAGCAAUCUGGAGGGCAGGAGUGAUGUUCGUCAACGAAUUGAGGUGAGAAAAGACAGAGAAAUGCAUGAAUUGAGAUUGUGGAUUGGACUCUGUCUGCUGGACACAUGUUGGAUCAUGCUGAAAGUCUUAAGUCAAGUGGCAGAUGCCCUCUUUAAUGGAAAAUGGAUUUGAAUCUAUAAUUACCACAACCAUCACAUGUCUAAUUUGCAGUUGUGUGCACAAACAAAUAAUUUGCCCAUGUACUGCCUGUACUUUCGCAUUAAAUGCUCUUGGCUCCUGC